This is a long non-coding RNA of Nymphaea colorata (pocket water lily), 5337 nucleotides long. RefSeq lists it as uncharacterized. Lineage: Eukaryota; Viridiplantae; Streptophyta; Magnoliopsida; Nymphaeales; Nymphaeaceae. The record is from RefSeq and is a predicted model, not a curated record. The transcript has 18 exons.
AUUUUGAGGAACGCUAGUCUAAAUAUUUAAGCGCGCAAGGAGAAAAGAAAAAGGAAUCUCUUUUUUUCUGUUCUUUUGGAAAACCGUCGUGAAGGGAAGUAACGAAAAAGAAUUCUGGAGGAAGAAGGUUAGGAAUCGACCCUUCCCCUGCCUGCCUGAUCACCUUCGAAAGCAUGCAGGAGCAUGUUUCCCUCUGCGGAUGCUUGUGUUAGUAACUGAAGAAUUACGAUCGCGAUCGAUUCCCGCAUGAUCAUAGCUCAACUCUUGGUCGAUCGUCGUUUUUGGUUGAUCGUUCUGAUCGCUGAUAUCUCUGCUGCUAACCGAUUUCUGUUCGGAAUUUCUACUCUGAUCGUAUGAUUGUGGGUUAUAUUGAGGCUGCAUUUCUUUCAGUUGUAAUUUCCGUCGAUAAUCCCAUUUGUGCUUGUGUGAUUUGAUGUUUGCCUAUGUGAAUGAUUGUGUUAGUAUCUGGAGAAUUACGAUCGCGAUCAAUUCCUGCCUGAUCAUAGUUCAACUCUUGGUUGAUCGCUGUUUUUCGUUGAUCGUUCUGGUCACUAUUCCGAUUGUUGAUCUCUGCUGCUGAUCGAUUUCUGUUAGGAAUUUCUACUCUGAUCGCACGAUUGUGGGCUGUAUUGAGGCUACAUUUCUUCCAGUCAUAAUUUCUGUCGGGAUUCCUGUUUGUGCUUGUGUGUCUACCUAUGUGAAUGAUUGUGUUAGUAUCUGGAGAAGUACGAUCGCGGUCCAUUCCCUCCUGAUCAUAGUUCAACUCUUGUUCGAUCACCGUUUUUCGUUGAUUGUUCUGAUCGCUAUUCUGACUGCUGAUAUCUCUACUGCUGGUCGAUUUUUUUUCGGAAUUUUUACUCUGAUAUCAUGAUUGUGGGUUGUAUUGAGGCUGCAUUACUUUCAGUUGUAAUUUCCAUCGUGAAUCCUGUUUGUGCUUGCGUUAUUUGAUGUUUGUCUCUGGGAAUGAUCAUGCUAAUAUCUGGAGAACUACGAUCGUGAUCCAUCCCUACAUCAUCAUAGUUCAACAAUUGGCUGAUCGCCGUUGUUCGUUGAUCGUUCUGAUCGCUAUCCCCAUUGCUGAUAUCUCUGCUGCUGGCCGAUUUCUGUUCGGAAUUUCUACUCUUAUUUCAUGCUCGUAAUAAUCAUCUUAUGAUCAUAGUUCAACUCUGAUCGUUCUGAUCGCCUGAUUGUGGGUUGUAUUGUUUUGAAACAGGAUUCCCAAGUUGAAAUGAUCAUCUUCUGAAAGAAAUGCAGAAGAUGCAGCAAAGUGCAGGCCAAGUAGGAACAGGCAUCUCAUAACGGUUGUUGGUGGGCUGAUGUUUGUUGGGGCUUUUAUGUUUCUCCUUCAACUUGGGAAGGGACUUCAAAAUCCAAAGACUGUUUUCUACAAGACCUACAUCUUUGUUCUAAUUGCAUAUGCAAGUGUCCAGCUGGCCUUUAGCCUACUCAUGCGCAUUCCAGCUUGUCAUAGGCUGACGAACCGAUGUGAUCAAUGGCCUGUUAUGAGAUUUAUCAAGUGGAUGCAUCAGGAAAGGCAUUAUGUUGGACGAGGAAUGUAUGAGCGAACAACUGACUUUAUCAAAUAAGGCAAUUGGUCAAUCCUACAAAAAUUAUUAUAAGUCUUAAUGGGCUAGAGUAUUCGUGGCAUGAUCUUGUAUCAAAACGAAGGAUAUGAGGACAUGUUGGAACUGAAAUCGAUUCAAGAAAUGUAGAAGUAUGUCAAUACGAAAACACAGAAAAUAUCUCUGCUUCUGAAAAAGCGGAUUACCACACCAAAUUGGAUCAAGCAUAAGGAGCGCAGAGAAGUUCACAUGUUCGUAGACCUGCUUCUUCAAGAGGAGAUAAGGCAUAUCUAAUCAUGGAGCUUCCAAUGGAGCAAUCCUAAUCUUCUCAGAAAUUUCUUGAGUUUAGUUCCUGGGUGCAAAAUAGAGCUGCAAGCUGCAGAAAGCGAAGUCAAGCAGAUUUUAGUUCGCUGCUCAACGCCAAAGCAUCAUCGCUCUGACAGCACUGGUAGUGCAAAUUCCUCUCGCGGUAACCCUCUUCGGGACGAAAAAAUUAGCAUACACAGCAAGUUCGAAGCCAACUGCUUGAAAGUCAUCUUGCUAAGAUUUUAAAGCAAAAAAUGGAGAUCUUCACAAAAAUUGAGUUUACGCAGGAGUCUGUGAUCUCAACCAUUGUGAAACUCUGCUUGAAAAGCUUUGUACAGUUUGGGAGACUCCAGACUUUUAACCACAGUGGAUUUCAGCAAAUCUAGUUGGACAUGCAGUUCCUUUGAGCGCCUCUUAAAGAAAUUGCCGAUGAUGAUGCAGCUAUUGAUUUCCUACUUGAUGAGGUCUGUGUGGCAGCUGCAGAACGUUGUCUUGAUUCAAUUCCUCUAGAGCCAGCUAUUUUGGAGAAACUGAUCCAGGCAAAAUUGCCCAAGAGUUGAUCAAUGGAGCUGAUGGUUUGAAAAAUAUCCGAUGCAUUAUUCUGCGGGCCAACAGGCAGUUAAUUGGUUGAAGUUGCUUGGGAAGAGUCGUCAAACAAAGCCUCAUCUGUCCAUUUUUAAUCCCUUCUUGCGUAGUUGCAACCAAAAUUCAGACCUUGCAAAUGAGUGUUUGCAACUGAUGGACAAACAAUUUAUCUGCAGGUCUGAGGAAACCUAUGGAGAGCUUCUUAAGGCACGUGCACAUUACGGGCGGCCCAUAGCCGAGAGACAACCCCCGUGGUGGCCAAGAACAGUAUGGAUCCAUUCAACCGCUGCAACAGUAGAGCACUCAUCCAUGGAUGUGUGAAUUCCAAGGAGAGGUACUCAGCCUUCCCUAGGACACCCAGGUUGGGAAGGCGGGAGCCCAACGCUUCAAGCACAUCACACAACAGUACCCUGGGGCCUUGCACCGCCUGCGCUCCGAACAGGCGAGACCAGUGGCGAAAGCGGGACGUCUCCCAAACACAUAGCCACAUCCCACUGCUGCAAGCUGCAGAAAGCGAAGUCAAGCAGAUUUUAGUUCGCUGCUCAACGCCAAAGCAUCAUCGCUCUGACAGCACUGGUAGUGCAAAUUCCUCUCGCGGUAACCCUCUUCGGGACGAAAAAAUUAGCAUACACAGCAAGUUCGAAGCCAACUGCUUGAAAGUCAUCUUGCUAAGAUUUUAAAGCAAAAAAUGGAGAUCUUCACAAAAAUUGAGUUUACGCAGGAGUCUGUGAUCUCAACCAUUGUGAAACUCUGCUUGAAAAGCUUUGUACAGUUUGGGAGACUCCAGACUUUUAACCACAGUGGAUUUCAGCAAAUCUAGUUGGACAUGCAGUUCCUUUGAGCGCCUCUUAAAGAAAUUGCCGAUGAUGAUGCAGCUAUUGAUUUCCUACUUGAUGAGGUCUGUGUGGCAGCUGCAGAACGUUGUCUUAUUCAAUUCCUCUAGAGCCAGCUAUUUUGGAGAAACUGAUCCAGGCAAAAUUGCCCAAGAGUUGAUCAAUGGAGCUGAUGGUUUGAAAAAUAUCCGAUGCAUUAUUCUGUGGGCCAACAGGUGGUCAUUCGCACACUGGCCUGUGCAUGCUUCACUGUCACCACUUUUUUCUGUAUUUCCCAAGAUCAUGGCUUGUGUGGGCCACUGUCAGAGGAGUUUGGCAGUUCGUUUGCGUUCUCUUGGGUAAUGCGGCACUUUAAACUGAGCUCUUUCCAUCACAUGCUCAUGGUCUUACCGUGCGCAGACCUUGCAGGCAGGUUCUUCUAGAAAUUCAUGAAUAAAAUGUAACUGCCACGUUGUGUUGGGACAGUCCCAACUUUCUUCUCAAAAUUGAAUUGAGAAGGCUUUUGUUGCUUAAAGGGAGAUACUGCUCAAGGAUCUGUUGUAAGUAAUACCUUACUCUGGUUGACUUUUCAUAUAUACUUGUAUAGUGCACGCAGCGCUGGUUGGUUGUUCCCGGUUUAUAUAGUUACCGGCCUAGGUUUUUGACAUUGUACAUUCGGGUUAUGGAGCUUGUUAGAAACUUCCAAGGCAGUUCAGCACUAUCUUUCUGUGGUGAGUACAUGGCAUUUUCUUUCUUUCUUUGUAUAAACAAGCUAUGGUAGCAGAUCCGACCAAAUGGCAGUGGCAUAUUGAAUUUCUUCAGAUUGAAGUUCUCAAGUCCAGCCCCGGUUGGUGAUUGAAACUCUUGUUGACAAAAGGUAUGUUAUUUUUGUCAAUCUACAUAAUUUCAGUUGCUUUCUCAAAAACAUUGCCGUCCAGGCUGUGCUUGCAAUUGAACAGUUGGAGUGAGAAUAGUGCGUUUAGAAGAUGGCAGCUGCUAAUUUGUGUUUGCCCAGUGUGUGGCAGUAAAGAUCUCACUUUGUGGUGAUACGUUCUCUUUUCAUUUUUAAAAUCUACACAAAUACCCCCUUAAUUAAGGAUGGGCAGUGGGCUUACGAUUUGACAUUGGAGCUGGCCCAAAAUUUUUUAUUUCAACUCCAUCAACAUAAGCAGUACAUGCAUGAGUACAUGCAUGAACAGUGUGUGGACAUGAUACUCCCUUUUUCCUAGUGGACCGCCGACGUGAUGCAAGCCUUAUUUAGCCCUGCUUUUAGGAUUCCAUGGUGACGUUCGGCCAGGGGGCAGUAGGACUGCCUUGCAGCCAUGGUUGGUGCGGUGGUCGAGCUCACGAAAGUGGCGACUUUGGUUGGCCAUGCUUUUGAUUGUUGGAAGAUUUUUAACUAUAAGUUGUCGGCUCAAGUUUCAGCAUGAUGCAAGUACAAAAAGGGAGAUAUGACACUUGAAAGCCGUAGAACAGAAACAGACGUAGGAGCCAAUUCUAUCUGAUGCACAAUCAACCAAAUUUAAAAAAAUUGUAACUCCUUUGUCUGCUGGUUGAGUCAUGUAAUAUGUUGUUGUUGGGAAGAUAAUUUCAAGACCUUUUCAAUGAGUAUAGGCAUGCAAGGAUCCUACACCGUUAUAGGACGAUUUGCUGGAAAAGCCACAGAUGAGGACAGUUGCCACAUGAAUCGAUGGAUGUAUAGGUCUUCCGAUCGGCUGGAUUUUGUGUUGAUGGAGUAGAUCAGGGCCUACGAUUCCUUAAAAGAGAUCUACGUUUAGGGUAGAGUUUUCGAUAGAGUUCUUGCUUGCUGGGGAGCUCCACAUCAAGGGUGAAGCUGCAAUGCAUGGACCUUGCAGGAUGGUCGUGGAAUGUUGUCGCACAGUUUGGGAUUGAGGACAGAGGAAAGAGGGUGGUGGUACUCAAAUAAUUUGUUCGUACUUUUUAAAGAACUUGCUAUAGAUUCAAAUACUCUUGUAUAUGAAUUAUCAUUUUCUUUUAGGUGUUUACCUAAAGAGAUCAUUAAAUCGAUUAUUGUGUUAAGAUGAGAUUUGUUACUAUGAAACUCAUGUUGG